UACGUAGGGUGCAAGCGUUGUUCGGAAUCAUUGGGCGUAAAGCGCGUGUAGGUGGUUAGGAAAGUUGGAUGUGAAAUCCCUGGGCUCAACUCAGGACGUGCAUCCAAAACUCCUUAGCUAGAGGGCGAGAGAGGGAGGUGGAAUUCCUAGUGUAGAGGUGAAAUUCGUAGAUAUUAGGAGGAAUACCGGCGGCGAAGGCGGCCUCCUGGAUCGUUCCUGACACUGAGACGCGAAAGCGUGGGGAG
This 245-nucleotide ribosomal RNA is filed under the name uncultured bacterium. Its description in RNAcentral is "partial 16S ribosomal RNA". It matches the Rfam family "Bacterial small subunit ribosomal RNA", at positions 524 to 768 of the family's 1533-position model. The record is from RNAcentral.